AUACUUACCUGGCAGGGGAGACACCAUGAUCAGGCAGGUCGUUUUCCCAGGGCGAGGCUCACCCAUUGCACUUGGGGUGUGUUGACCCCUGCGAUUUCCCCAAAUGCGGGAAACUCGACUGCAUAAUUUGUGGUAGUAGGGGACUGCGUUCGCGCUCUCCCCUG
This 164-nucleotide small nuclear RNA is filed under the name Neotoma lepida (desert woodrat). Its description in RNAcentral is "U1 spliceosomal RNA". It matches the Rfam family "U1 spliceosomal RNA". From Rfam's summary of the family: U1 is a small nuclear RNA (snRNA) component of the spliceosome (involved in pre-mRNA splicing). Its 5' end forms complementary base pairs with the 5' splice junction, thus defining the 5' donor site of an intron. The record is from Rfam by way of RNAcentral. Lineage: Eukaryota; Metazoa; Chordata; Mammalia; Rodentia; Cricetidae.